Molecule: long non-coding RNA, 558 nt
Filed under: Monodelphis domestica (gray short-tailed opossum)
Lineage: Eukaryota; Metazoa; Chordata; Mammalia; Didelphimorphia; Didelphidae
Description: lncRNA (ENSMODG00000044207.1)
Source: RNAcentral
UAGCCUAUCGUGCUGCAUUUGUCAUUCCUGCCCGGGCGACAUUUUUUUUUUCCCUUAAGCUUCUGCACACUAAACAGAGGGAGAGAGCUUUCCCCUGCACUCUUCUUGAAGUCCCCCUGCUUUUUACUCAGUUUUGCUUUCUAUUUGAUAUCCCCUCCAGUCUCUGAAUACUAUCAUUGAACUCGUUUGCAUAAUGGGUGAGUUUUCUAUCUCUCAUGUUUGUUCCUAUAUUUAUAUAUGCUAAAACCUAUGCAUUUCUUUUUUAUUUUCAAAUUUGUUGAUCAAAACCAAAGAAAUAAUAUUUGAAUGUUUAUUAUUUUUCUUGAGAUGUGAAGUAGAAAUAUAAAAAUACAACAUUCUCUUAAGAGCUCUGAACUAGAGAAAAGUAUCUUAUCUUAUGCAUCUCUUUCAUUGUUCCACUCAUUCUCUAUUAAUGCAACCAAAUAAGUGAUUUUUAAGACUGGUUUAGUUUUCUGAUAGUUUGCAACUUUUUUAGGGUAAAAUGUUCCUUAUUUGACUCAAGGUAUAAGCACCCACUUAUUAGAAGAAGGCAAAUAC